AUCGGUCGAACGACAUAGCCUGGCGCUGCAUGGCGCAAGGCUCUCUACCUGAAUCCUGCGGAGACAAGGACAUUCUAUGAGCAUCGGCACCGUCAAGUGGUUCAACGAGCAGAAGGGCUUCGGCUUCAUCCAGCCUGAGGACGGCUCGAAGGACGUUUUCGUUCACAUCUCCGCCGUCGAGCGCGCCGGCCUGCGUGGCCUCACCGAAGGCCAGAAGGUUUCCUACGAGAUGGAAACCGACCGUCGCUCCGGCAAGCAGUCGGCGGGUCAGCUCCAAGUCGCGUAAUUCGCGCCUGAACCCGAUAUGUCGAAGCCGCUCCGGACUGGAGCGGCUUUGCGC
This 340-nucleotide unclassified non-coding RNA is filed under the name Methylorubrum extorquens. RNAcentral's name for it is "cspA". Lineage: Bacteria; Pseudomonadati; Pseudomonadota; Alphaproteobacteria; Hyphomicrobiales; Methylobacteriaceae. The record is from RNAcentral.